RNAcentral lists this ribosomal RNA (425 nucleotides) under uncultured bacterium. RNAcentral's name for it is "partial 16S ribosomal RNA". It matches the Rfam family "Bacterial small subunit ribosomal RNA", at positions 368 to 795 of the family's 1533-position model. The record is from RNAcentral.
CCUAUGGGAGGCUGAACCAGCCAAGUCGCGUGAGGGAAGACGGCCCUACGGGUUGUAAACCUCUUUUGUCAGGGAGCACGGUUCAGGUCGGGACCUGCUGUGAGAGUACCUGAAGCAAAAGCAUCGGCUAACUCCGUGCCAGCCGCCGCGGUAAUACGGAGGCUGCUAGCCUUAUCCGGAUUUAUUGGGUUUAAAGGGUGCGCAGGCGGAGGCACAAGUCAGCGGUAAAAUCGCGGGGCUCAACCCCGCUCCGCCGUUGAAACUGUGUCCCUUGAGUGCGCGAAGGGUAGGCGGAAUGCGUGGUGUAGCGGUGAAAUGCAUAGAUAUCACGCAGAACUCCGAUCGCGAAGGCAGCCUACCGGCGCGCAACUGACGCUCAUGCACGAAAGCGUGGGUAUCGAACAGGAUUAGAUACCCGUGUAGUC